RNAcentral lists this ribosomal RNA (253 nucleotides) under uncultured bacterium. RNAcentral's name for it is "partial 16S ribosomal RNA". It matches the Rfam family "Bacterial small subunit ribosomal RNA", at positions 524 to 776 of the family's 1533-position model. The record is from RNAcentral.
UACGGAGGGUGCAAGCGUUAUUCGGAAUCACUGGGUUUAAAGGGUGCGUAGGCGGCUAGAUAAGUCAGAGGUGAAAGUUUGUCGCUUAACGAUAGAACUGCCUUUGAUACUGUUAAGCUUGAAAGUAGGUGAGGUUGGCGGAAUGUGACAUGUAGCGGUGAAAUGCAUAGAUAUGUCAUAGAACACCGAUUGCGAAGGCAGGCGGCUAACCUGACUUUGACGAUGAGGCACGAAAGCGUGGGUAGCGAACAGG